UUUACCAGCCAGCAGUACUGUAUCAUUUUAGUCUUUUUAGUCAAUAAGUUGUCUUUGUCAUAGUUUGUCAUAGUUUGAUAAUUGUGUAGUUUAGAGUAAUUAUCGAGGUUAGCUGGCCAGCUAUUUUCGUCCCCUGCGACGCCAUUUCCAAACCUAGCCAACUAUUACCGACGAGCAGCAUUGUAGAAACUAAAUACAUUACAAAGGAACGUCUUGAUUAGUGUUAUGUUAGCUAGCUACAUAGUUGCCUUUGUAUCAUGAUAAGGUGUAGUACUGAAACAAUCGAGGUUACCUAGCCAGCUACACUUUCAAACAAAGUCAACAACGCAGCCACUACUAGCUAGCCUACUUCACCAGCCAGCAGUACUGUAUCAUUUUAAUCAUUUUAGUCAAUAAGAUUUUUGCAACGUAAGCUUAACUUUCUGAACAUUCGAGACGUGUAGUCCACUUGUCAUUCCAAUCUCCUUUGCAUUAGCGUAGCCUCUUCUGUAGCCUGUCAACUAUGUGUCUGUCUAUCCCUGUUCUCUCCCCUCUGCACAGGCCAUACAAACGCUUCACACCGCGUGGCCGCUGCCACUCUAACCUGGUGGUCCCAGCGCGCACGACCCACGUGGAGUUCCAGGUCUCCGGCAGCCUCUGGAACUGCCGGUCUGCGGCCUAUGCUAUCUCAGCCUAUGCUACCCUCCAGUCCCUCGACUUCUUGGCGCUGACGGAAACAUGGAUUACCACAGAUAACACUGCUACUCCUACUGCUCUCUCCUCGUCUGCCCACGUGUUCUCGCACACCCCGAGAGCUUCUGGUCAGCGGGGUGGUGGCACUGGGAUCCUCAUCUCUCCCAAGUGGACAUUCUCUCUUUCUCCCCUGACACAUCUGUCUAUCGCCUCCUUUGAAUUCCAUGCUGUCACAGUUACCAGCCCUUUCAAGCUUCCUCCAGGUUCCCUUGGAGAGUUCAUCAAUGAGCUUGACACCUUGAUAAGUUCCUUUCCUGAGGAUGGCUCACCUCUCACAGUUCUGGGUGACUUCAACCUCCCCACGUCUACCUUUGACUCAUUCCUCUCUGCCUCCUUCUUUCCACUCCUCUCCUCUUUUGACCUCACCCUCUCACCUUCCCCCUCACUCACAAGGCAGGCAAUACGCUUGACCUCAUCUUUACUAGAUGCUGUUCUUCCACUAAUCUCAUUGCAACUCCCCUCCAAGUCUCCGACCACUACCUUGUAUCCUUUUCCCUCUCGCUCUCAUCCAACACUUCUCACUCUGCCCCUGCUCGGAUGGUAUUGCGCCGUCCCAACCUUCGCUCUCUCUCUCCCGCUACUCUCUCCUCUUCCAUCCUAUCAUCUCUUCCCUCUGCUCAAACCUUCUCCAACCUAUCUCCUGAUUCUGCCUCCUCAACCCUCCUCUCCUCCCUUUCUGCAUCCUUUGACUCUCUAUGUCCACUAUCCUCCAGGCCGGCUCGGUCCUCCCCUCCUGCUCCGUGGCUCGAUGACUCAUUGCGAGCUCACAGAACAGGGCUCCGGGCAGCCGAGCGGAAAUGGAGGAAAACUCGCCUCCCUGCGGACCUGGCAUCCUUUCACUCCCUCCUCUCUACAUUUUCCUCUUCUGUCUCUGCUGCUAAAGCCACUUUCUACCACUCUAAAUUCCAAGCAUCUGCCUCUAACCCUAGGAAGCUCUUUGCCACCUUCUCCUCCCUCCUGAAUCCUCCUCCCCCCCCUCC
Long non-coding RNA from Salmo trutta (river trout), 1712 nucleotides. Lineage: Eukaryota; Metazoa; Chordata; Actinopteri; Salmoniformes; Salmonidae. The record is from Ensembl.